Molecule: ribosomal RNA, 254 nt
Filed under: uncultured bacterium
Lineage: Bacteria
Description: partial 16S ribosomal RNA
Rfam family: Bacterial small subunit ribosomal RNA
Source: RNAcentral
UACGUAGGGGGCAAGCGUUGUCCGGAUUUAUUGGGCGUAAAGAGCGUGUAGGCGGCUUGGCAAGUCCGCUGUGAAAACUCGAGGCUUAACCUCGAGAGGUCGGUGGAAACUGCCUAGCUAGAGUCCGGAAGAGGAGAGUGGAAUUCCUGGUGUAGCGGUGAAAUGCGCAGAUAUCAGGAAGAACACCCGUGGCUAAGGCGGCUCUCUAGUACGGUACUGACGCUGAGACGCGAAAGCGUGGGGGAGCGAACAGG